RNAcentral lists this ribosomal RNA (770 nucleotides) under uncultured bacterium. RNAcentral describes it as "bacterial SSU rRNA". It matches the Rfam family "Bacterial small subunit ribosomal RNA", at positions 78 to 834 of the family's 1533-position model. The record is from RNAcentral.
UGACGUUGGGAAAGCGAGCGGCGGAUGGGUGAGUAACACGUGGGGAACCUGCCCCUAAGUCUGGGAUACCAUUUGGAAACAGGUGCUAAUACCGGAUAAUAAAGCAGAUCGCAUGAUCAGCUUUUGAAAGGCGGCGUAAGCUGUCGCUAAGGGAUGGCCCCGCGGUGCAUUAGCUAGUUGGUAAGGUAACGGCUUACCAAGGCGACGAUGCAUAGCCGAGUUGAGAGACUGAUCGGCCACAUUGGGACUGAGACACGGCCCAAACUCCUACGGGAGGCAGCAGUAGGGAAUCUUCCACAAUGGACGCAAGUCUGAUGGAGCAACGCCGCGUGAGUGAAGAAGGUUUUCGGAUCGUAAAGCUCUGUUGUUGGUGAAGAAGGAUAGAGGUAGUAACUGGCCUUUAUUUGACGGUAAUCAACCAGAAAGUCACGGCUAACUACGUGCCAGCAGCCGCGGUAAUACGUAGGUGGCAAGCGUUGUCCGGAUUUAUUGGGCGUAAAGCGAGCGCAGGCGGAAAAAUAAGUCUAAUGUGAAAGCCCUCGGCUUAACCGAGGAAUUGCAUCGGAAACUGUUUUUCUUGAGUGCAGAAGAGGAGAGUGGAACUCCAUGUGUAGCGGUGGAAUGCGUAGAUAUAUGGAAGAACACCAGUGGCGAAGGCGGCUCUCUGGUCUGCAACUGACGCUGAGGCUCGAAAGCAUGGGUAGCGAACAGGAUUAGAUACCCUGGUAGUCCAUGCCGUAAACGAUGAGUGCUAAAGUGUUGGGAGGUUU